RNAcentral lists this long non-coding RNA (735 nucleotides) under Felis catus (domestic cat). RNAcentral's name for it is "lncRNA (ENSFCAG00000048017.1)". The record is from RNAcentral. Lineage: Eukaryota; Metazoa; Chordata; Mammalia; Carnivora; Felidae.
CUGCUUGCUGCUCAUUUAUUGUGUCCACCUCUUCAUUCUUCAAAGCUGCAAGACAAUGGAUCCCAGGUAUUGAGGUAAAAAAUCCUGCAACAUUUCUGCAUUCCAGCAAGAGACUAUGAGCUACUCUCAUCUCAGGUAAGAAUGGAACUGCUUCACCAGAUGCAUGUGUUAGAGCAUGGAUUGUGCUGCUAACCUGUGUGGAGUAGCGUAUGUGAGCACCGCUAACCUGCCUGCAUAUGGAGUUUCCAGGCACCAGGCACCAAACAGAGGUAUAAAGCAUCUGGACGGUCUUUGCUGAUUUUGCAGGAAAGAGGGAGAAGUGACAACAGAAGCAGAAAUUACAGUGAUGUGAGCCGAAGAAUGAGGCAGCCCCUGCAAACCCAGGAGGCAAGGAGAGGGAUUCUUCCCUGAAGACUCCAGGACCCAGCCCUGCCCUCACCUUGAUGGUAGUCCUGUAAAACUCAUUUCAGAAUUACAGUCUCCAAAACUAUUGCUGUAUUAAUUUGUGUUGUUUUAAGCCACUAGUUUUGUGGCCAUUUGCUAACAGCAGCCAUAGGAAGUUAAUACAGAACUGAAAGUCUUACUACUGGGCACACCAGGAUUUCCCUGAGAAAUACCAUAGAGAAAAGGGUCUUGUAAUCAAAUAUAUUGGCCACUGUGACAUCUCCCUCUUGGAGAUUCAAAACAGCAUCUUAGGCUCUGAGGAGACAUAAAAUAAAGAAUCUGUUUAACUCA